UGAAUUCUUAUGUGAGCUUUGC
Molecule: microRNA, 22 nt
Filed under: Acyrthosiphon pisum (pea aphid)
Lineage: Eukaryota; Metazoa; Arthropoda; Insecta; Hemiptera; Aphididae
Description: api-miR-3044
Source: miRBase by way of RNAcentral